RNAcentral lists this ribosomal RNA (497 nucleotides) under uncultured bacterium. RNAcentral describes it as "partial 16S ribosomal RNA". It matches the Rfam family "Bacterial small subunit ribosomal RNA", at positions 28 to 507 of the family's 1533-position model. The record is from RNAcentral.
GAUGAACGCUGGCGGCGUGCCUAAUACAUGCAAGUCGAGCGAACAGACGAGGAUCUUGCUCCUCUGACGUUAGCGGCGGACGGGUGAGUAACACGUGGAUAACCUACCUAUAAGACUGGGAUAACUUCGGGAAACCGGAGCUAAUACCGGAUAAUAUAUUGAACCGCAUGGUUCAAUAGUGAAAGACGGUUUUGCUGUCACUUAUAGAUGGAUCCGCGCCGCAUUAGCUAGUUGGUAAGGUAACGGCUUACCAAGGCAACGAUGCGUAGCCGACCUGAGAGGGUGAUCGGCCACACUGGAACUGAGACACGGUCCAGACUCCUACGGGAGGCAGCAGUAGGGAAUCUUCCGCAAUGGGCGAAAGCCUGACGGAGCAACGCCGCGUGAGUGAUGAAGGUCUUCGGAUCGUAAAACUCUGUUAUUAGGGAAGAACAAAUGUGUAAGUAACUAUGCACGUCUUGACGGUACCUAAUCAGAAAGCCACGGCUAACUACGUG